Long non-coding RNA from Papio anubis (olive baboon), 3268 nucleotides. The record is from Ensembl. NCBI's taxonomy places the organism in Eukaryota, Metazoa, Chordata, Mammalia, Primates, Cercopithecidae.
AUGACUGGUCACCUCUGGGCUCUGUCUAUUUCCCUCCUUGACCUUCAAGGAGAAGUAGACAUUGUGUUGAGAGAAAUCACCAUAACCAUGAUCAAAAAACAUACCAAAAGUAUAAAACUUGGAAAGAUGGGAUUAUGGAUCAAAAUAAAGGAAACUGGUAAACAAAGUCUCAUCUUUGUAUGUCCUCAGGAAAUUGGGAACCUACCGUGCUCUGGAAUAACUGCUGGGAACAUGGCGAACUAUGUGGCCACUAUCCCUGAAAAGCUGUACCUUUGAAGGCAGCAGCUCCAUAUCGAUGCUUAGCACAUUGAAGAGGUCCCCACAGCUACUUCUGUGGAGAUGGCUAUACAGAGCUUAGGAGAAAGUUCUGCUGGCUACCUGAAAAUUAGGACCGCACUCACCUGUACUCUGGGUUGGCAGAAGACCUAAUUGUGAAUUGGUACUCAUGUGCAAAACGCACUGUUCUGCCUAAUUAAUUCCUCUGCAUUGAUGUUUUGUAUCAUUCAUGGCCCUUUCUGGCAUAUCCUGGUUCUGUCGAAUGACAACUCUCUUGAAGUCUGGGUGAUUUCUGUUCUUUGAGUGUGAAGUGAAUUUGCAACUGAAGCAAAAUAAAAGAUAUAGGUGGUAAGGUUUUCAAUCUUCUUCUACGCCCUCCAACCCACAUUCUCUGCUAAAGAGGAAAUUUUACUUAUAGGAUCAGCUUCUAGUCCUUCAUGGCAUUUUCCAGUCAAGUCUGCCAAGUGUUUGGCGGGGGUGGGUGAGUGUGGGUGGGGUGGUUGUAAGCAUGUUUUAUUGUACUGGUGCACCCUAAGCCCCCUGCGCCACCAAAGACAUAGCCUCUGGAAGAGAUUACUACCUGACUUGCCAAAUUAUUCAGUUCCGUCUCAGGCUCCUGAAUCCAACCUAAAGUUGAUACACAGGAAGCAACCAGAGGACAGUUUGAGAGCUCAGAAUCAGGGAACCUGUGAGUACCUGAGAGUCUGUUUCCAUUCCCGAAGGGUUGUGGGUAGAAGAAGGGUACAGCUUGCCUCGUAUGGCCCAGAAAGCAGGACCAGGAUGGAGGAUGGAGAAGAUGGGAAGAUAUGAAAGGCAGAGAAGUGGACCCAAUCCAUUAUUUGAGGAUUAAACAUAUACAAAAAAGUGGGAAUGGAUUGAUCAGGGUAUAUAGUUGGCCAGAUUUAGCAAAAAACAAAACAAAACAAAAAAACAGGGCAGCCAGUUAAAUUUGAAUUUCAGAUAAACAAUAAAUCAUCCCAUACAAUAUUUGGGACAUAUUUAUACUAAAACAUUAUUAAUUGUUUAUCUGAAAUUCAAAUUUAACUGGGCAUCUUGUAUUUUAUCUGGACACCCUCCCAGGACAAUGGAUUUUUGUCACCGAAGGUGUCCAAGCCGAGUCUGGGACACAGGUGGAAGGCUGUCUCAUGGGGAUGGGCUGAGAUCUCAAAUGGCAGCUUGGGUUGAAGAGCCCCACUCCCAAUCAGGUAAUCAAUUUCACCCUUUUCCCAGUUUCAGAGUGUUCAGGUAAGGGGCAUCCUCCUGCUCAGGGGAAGGGCUGUUAAUUCACUGUCUGUGUGAGUGUGAAGUGAAUCUGCAACUGAGGCAGCUAGGUCCAGCAGCAACUUGUUUAGAGCUCUGUCCUUAGUCACCUACAGCAGCAGCUGGCAUCCUGCAUCCAAGAGCAGCUAGCCUGGGGAUGAUGCAGGUGUGGACCCGCCCCCCAGGGCUGGACUCCCUCCCAUUUCAGUCCUUAUCAAGCCUCUCUUGGGUGGUAAGCUGUCGCCUGGCCCUAGGCCACUCCCUUGGCCUGUCAUCACCCACACACACUCGAUUAGGGGAUUGGAGUGACUUACAGGGGCUCCUCUCCCCCAGGGUCAGCAUUUGCAUAGGGUGAUGGAUGCUGAGAUGUCAUCUAAACACAUCCGCACUUUGCAUUUUAAACAAAGCAAUUUCCAGAGGAAGCCGGGGGAGCUUUGCCUCCUUCCAAGGAACGGUUCCUCUGAGUCAAAUUAUCUCUCCUUUUGGCCAGCAGUUUCCACAUCUGCCCUGGGGCCCUCCCCUCUGUUGGCCUUCUGUCCCUGCUUCCCCCCACCUAGUGACCUCAAUGUGAAGCAGAGGGUAGCCUGGGACAUAGAAUAAAGAAAGACACAGGUCCCCGGCCAAGACCAGGCAAGGACCACCCAGGCUUUCCUCUGUACCUGACACUGGUAUCUCCUUCCCAUUCACCGUCCUGCAGGACGCCUGUGACUAGGAUAGGAGAGCAAUCUCAGCCAGGACAAGUCCCCUAUAAUGCAUGGUUUAUGGGACACAGAACAUCUGCUCCAAACAUCCAGGCCCUGCAAACAUCUCCAUGUCCCACGGUGCAAGCCAGCGUUGCCUCCUGAGAUCCUUCUGUGUUCUGUCCGGGAAUAUGGGAUUCCUUCUGCCUAAGGUCUGACUUCUCAUACCAUACAGUUAAGACUUUUUCUUCUUAGUAAACCUGAGCCUUCACCCCAGGGACCUCUAGGAUGAUGAUAAAAAUGUCAGCAUAAUAUAAGCUCAUAAGGUUUGGCUGGAUUUUUUUUUUCUCCAAAGUCACGCAGAAAGGAAUAAGGUAGGAGGAUUUUUGUCCCCUGUAAUGUAGUCUGAAGGCCAGCAGCAUCAUCUCAGCUCAGUUACUUCUGCAGGGUAUGUCUUUGGGUAAAGUCACUUAACCAGCAAACUGGCACAGCAGUGCCUCCUCUGGUGGCCCCACUGUCACAGAGCACAGGAGCUGCUUGGCACAGGAGUCUCCAAAUGCACGCUUGUGUCUGCUCUUUCCCUUCCUGCCCUGAUGGAGAUGUUAGUAAGCUGACCCAGGUUGGGAACAAGCCGUGCCUGGCAGGGGUGAGGGGCAGACAUCUGUAGCUGGGGGAGGCUCCUGUGAGGCCAUGGGUGUCUCACAGUAGAAGGAGGGUUGCGGGGAGCAAACGCUUGUUGAGUGCCUACUAUGCACCCAGUCUUUUAGACAACAACUUCAUAGUCUAAAAUAUGACAUGGUGGUUAGGAGAAGAGACAUUAAUUGAACUCAUACAGACCUGGAUUCAAAUCUGACCUCUGUAACCUCAAACAAGUAGAAUAACCUUUCUGAGCUUUAGUCUCCCAUAGAAUGUAGGCAGUAGCAUUUACAUCGGACACUCAUUGUGAGGAAUGAAGGGCCUAAUAUGUGUGAAGUAUCUGGGAUAUGGAAGCAUCCACUAAUGCUGCCCAUUAGCAUCCUCACGCGGUGUGAUCAGCUGCAUUACAUAGAUUG